Molecule: small nucleolar RNA, 102 nt
Organism: Spermophilus dauricus (Daurian ground squirrel)
Lineage: Eukaryota; Metazoa; Chordata; Mammalia; Rodentia; Sciuridae
Source: Ensembl
AUCCUUCGGUUCAUAAGCGUGAUGAUUGGGUGUUCACGCUCUUGUGUGAGAUGUGCCUCCCUCUAAACCUUGUUACGACAUCAGCACAUUACCCAUCUGACG